This 497-nucleotide ribosomal RNA is filed under the name uncultured bacterium. RNAcentral's name for it is "partial 16S ribosomal RNA". It matches the Rfam family "Bacterial small subunit ribosomal RNA", at positions 28 to 507 of the family's 1533-position model. The record is from RNAcentral.
GACGAACGCUGGCGGCGUGCCUAAUACAUGCAAGUUGAGCGCUGAAGGUUGGUACUUGUACCGACUGGAUGAGCAGCGAACGGGUGAGUAACGCGUGGGGAAUCUGCCUUUGAGCGGGGGACAACAUUUGGAAACGAAUGCUAAUACCGCAUAAAAACUUUAAACACAAGUUUUAAGUUUGAAAGAUGCAUUUGCUUCACUCAAAGAUGAUCCCGCGUUGGAUUAGCUAGUUGGUGAGGUAAAGGCUCACCAAGGGGAUGAUACAUAGCCGACCUGAGAGGGUGAUCGGCCACAUUGGGACUGAGACACGGCCCAAACUCCUACGGGAGGCAGCAGUAGGGAAUCUUCGGCAAUGGACGAAAGUCUGACCGAGCAACGCCGCGUGAGGGAAGAAGGUUUUCGGAUCGUAAAACUCUGUUGGUAGAGAAGAACGUUGGUGAGAGUGGAAAGCUCAUCAAGUGACGGUAACUACCCAGAAAGGGACGGCUAACUACGUG